GUGGGGAAUAUUGGACAAUGGGCGAAAGCCUGAUCCAGCCAUGCCGCGUGUGUGAAGAAGGUCUUCGGAUUGUAAAGCACUUUAAGUUGGGAGGAAGGGCAGUAAGUUAAUACCUUGCUGUUUUGACGUUACCGACAGAAUAAGCACCGGCUAACUUCGUGCCAGCAGCCGCGGUAAUACGAAGGGUGCAAGCGUUAAUCGGAAUUACUGGGCGUAAAGCGCGCGUAGGUGGUUUUGUAAGUUGGAGGUGAAAUACACGGGCUCAACCUGGGAACUGCCUCCAAAACUGCAUGACUAGAGUACGGUAGAGGGUAGUGGAAUUUCCUGUGUAGCGGUGAAAUGCGUAGAUAUAGGAAGGAACACCAGUGGCGAAGGCGACUACCUGGACUGAUACUGACACUGAGGUGCGAAAGCGUGGGGAGCAAACAGGAUUAGAUACCCCGGUAGUCC
RNAcentral lists this ribosomal RNA (450 nucleotides) under uncultured bacterium. Its description in RNAcentral is "partial 16S ribosomal RNA". It matches the Rfam family "Bacterial small subunit ribosomal RNA", at positions 354 to 796 of the family's 1533-position model. The record is from RNAcentral.